Non-coding RNA from Nelumbo nucifera (sacred lotus), 7370 nucleotides. NCBI's taxonomy places the organism in Eukaryota, Viridiplantae, Streptophyta, Magnoliopsida, Proteales, Nelumbonaceae. The record is from RefSeq and is a predicted model, not a curated record.
UAGUGGCAGAAACAGCAAGCAAGGGAACAUGGGCCAAAGGACUUGAUUUCAUUUCGGGGUUGCAUGCGAGCUUCUUUAUUCUACUAACAAUUGUGACACGAGGUUAGGUGAAUGGCGAUUGUCUGAAUCAUUAGGAGGUUACCUGAAUGGCGAUUAUCUGAAUCAUUAGGGGGCCGCCCGCCAGCAACCGACCGAUUACCAAAGGUCGCCAGCAACCGAUUACAAACGAGGCUUUUCUGUUCUUCAUUUCAUAUCUCACGGACAUAUAACUGUUAUUUUCUUUGGUAACGAGGGCUUUCUUAUAAUGAUAAACUGGAUGAAGUAAAUUUCGAGGAAGAUGCAACGAAGCUAAUCCCACGACCGACGGCACCAGUCUAAUCGAGAAAACACUAACGGAAACGUAGAUCCCGUAGUUCUGUAAUAGCACUACUAUAAAUGGCGAAUGCUUGGGCUAGAUUAGAAUCUGAGGUUGAAGUCGGACUAGAACUACAGAAGUACAAAUGGCAAGUGUUCUGAAGACAAUGCUUGGAGCAAAUGUAGCCCUGGCACUUGGGAUUGGAGCCAUCUAUUUCCUAUUUCCAGUAUCACCUGGAAUUCCUAAAUCGGCUCAUUUUUUUUAUGAUUUGCAUUCUGUCGUUGGCCUUAUCAUGUAACAUCCUCGGGCUUCUCCUACUAGACAAAGGCAAGUUAUUGUUAGCCAAUGCCGUGGGGAAACUGGGGGCCAUCUUAACCAUGGCCGAUGUAUUUACUUUGUUGGGUUGCAUUUUGCCGUUACGACUUGUUUGGCUUCCGGCUCUCUGUUUCCUCUCCUGUCUAGGCCUACUACUACUGCCCAACUCCUUAACCGGAUCUCCUCGUGUCACGGGCACAAAUCAAACACGCGGAUGGGGGCCAAGGCGUGUGAUUACCGUUUUUGAGAGCAUUCACAGAAUGGGACCAAAUCAUGCACUUACCACCACCGUAUAUGGGCGCAUUUAUAGAGUAGAGGAAAAUGAUCUUCCCGUGUAAAAACACUCUGGAAUAUACGAUAUCCAUCAGAUAAAUCUCUCUCUCGUAGUUUUUCGUUUCUUUUCCCUUUUUUUCUUGUAUAAUCAAGUUAGUGAAAUCUUUGGGUUUUAUGUUUUAACUGCUCCCCAGUCGCCCGAUGCAUUGUUUUCCCCGUUAGUUUGGAGGGGAAUCAUCUUACUUGGCUUUGUAAUGUUUAUGUUCUCUAAUCUGUACUCUGUGUAUGUUCAUCAAAUUGCUUUUAUUGCCAGAAUAUCGUGUCUCUCUCAUGUUUGUUUUCGUUUUGGUUGCUUAAUUUUGAAAAGGAAUCAUGAUGGUUUCAUGGAUUUGGUUCCUCAGGAAGUAGUUUAUGAUGUUGGCUGCUCUCUGGGCUUGGUAAGACUGUCGAUGCGUCUGUAAGAUUAUUGACAUAUAUGCCACCAAAUCAUGCUAUCAGCUGAGGCAUCUGACAAGGAUGCAUUAGGUUCCUUUGUUUUGGACGAUUACAGAAGGCCUUAACCCAGCCUCCAUGAUACUUAGAGCGUAAGUAACUUCAAUUGCGGUAUAACCUCAGUAGAGAUGCAGAAGAUCACAGAAGGGUUCCUUAAUUUCCUAGUUACAAAGAUAUUGUUGUGAAUUUGAACUCUGUUUGGAUGAUAAGAUGAUCUCGAUUAUAAUUAUGUCCCUGAUUGUUCCUUUUCAAUCUUCACCAUACCAGAGCAUCUUGUUGCCAUUAAUAUUUCAGGUUUGGUUGGAGUAAUUCUCCAAGGUUCUAAUUCCUCCCUCCACACACACACAUACACACAUAUGAUGCACUUUGUUGGUGAUUUCUACUUUUCUUUGACUUGUAUAAGAUGACUGUAUAGACAGAAACACUCUGUUGCAGCAGUCUUGGGCAAUCAAAGAGGUAUCUGUCCAUGAGACCAGAGCGUAGUAGAGGUGAGCAUGCUCAGAUGGAUGCAUGACAAGACCAGAAAAGAUAGAAUUAGAAACAUGUGCAUGUUUCAAAAUUUAGCAGUAUAUCCAAAAGAUGAAAAUUUGAGGGAAAAUAAACAAAGAAGGUUAGGGAAUCUGCAUGGUAGACCCACUAUUCAAGGGAUGAUUUGAUACAAGUUGAGUGUUCUAGAAAGCCCAAGGGAAGGCUGAAAAGUAAAUCCCUGCAUGGAUUUGGCUAUUGAAAAAACAUCUGAGAAUUCACAGUAUAACCGAGGAUAUGCCCUUGAUAGAAUGAAAUUUAGCUCACCUCAGAUUGUUGAUGCUUGUUUCUGCUUAUUUGUCCUUAAUUCUUAAUUGGGUUGUUAUAAUUAAUAUGAGGCUUAUAAUUUAGGUAAUAAAGACCCCAGGUUUCUAUUCAUUUCCUUCUACCUUGGAUGGAUUAUCAGCAAACUUGGAGGAAUUGUGCUUUUUUGUAGUUAUGAACAGGUAAAAUUUCUAACUCUUUCACAUUUGGAAUUGUGAUCUUGGACACAAAUCUGCAGUGCUUAAAAAUUAUUGGAGGAAGAACAUAUCAACCUACUGCAUUGAUCAUUCUGAACUCUUUGCGGUGUUGCAGGUUUUUUUGGAACUUCAAAGGAACAUCUGUAUUUGCUCGAACAAUCUUCUAGUAAUCCAGGCUCUUCAGAAGGACUCCCUGUUACCUUGGUUUUGCCGAUGGCUUUUGCAAAGAACCAAAAUUUUAAUUUCCAGUCUUCACUUUAAUGUUAUGUUUAAACAUAUAAACUGUACUUUUAAUAUCCCUGCUCGCAAGGUAUCCCAACAGGCAAAAAACCAUCCUCUGUCUUACUUUGAAUAUAAUGCCUAUCCUGAAGGGAUCCCAAAAGUGGAGCAGUUUGUAAAUAUCUCUUUAGCUUAACAUAUUUUCUGUUUAUCUUCCAAAAAUAGAUAAAUAAAUAAACCUGUAUCAUAGGUCAACAUGGGACUUAGAGGUUUCAUUGCUACUUGCAAUCUUCCUCCUAACCUCAUAGCAGAUCUCCUUGACGUGGUUAGCAAAACUUUCUGCAUCAGCACAUGGUGUUGCCUAUGAUGGUAAAGGAACUAGGUCUAUAAGCUUCUUAGGCUGAAUUCCCAUCACUAUUUCAAAGGGGUUGCGACCUAUACUUCUAUAUCACUCACCAAACAAUGUAGUAAAUUUCCCAAGAUUCUAUUCACAACUUUAGUUUUCCCUUUUGUUUGAGUUUGAGGAUAAAAAGUUGAAGAGAAAUUCAACUUACUAUUCAACAUACGCCAAAAAGUUCUUCAAAAGUAACUCAUAAAUUUGACAUCUCUUUCUGAAACGUUAGUAUUAGGUAGGCCAUGCAAGCACACAAUUUGAAGAAUAGUUAUGCAUACAAAAUUAGAUGUCUUGCUACAAGGAAUGAAAUGAACCAUUUUCUAGAAGUGAUCAACCACAACAUAGAUGGAACCAUGCCCCUGUAGAGUCUUAAGGAGGCCUAGCACAAACUCCAUGCCAAGGAGAAGAAUGUGGAACAGGGAGUGGAGUGUAUAAACUAGUAUUUUGUUUCCUUUGCUAGAUGACAUACAUGAUGUUGGAAUGUUUACCUACUUUUUAUGUUUUUAUUCUACUUAGUUAGGUCUGUUUGUUCUGGUUAAAAUAGCUUUUUUUAUCAUUAUUUAUGUACUUUGACUACAGUAGGGGCAUAAGGGUCUUUUCCCUAUUAAUUAUGGUCACCCUAUAUAUAAUAAUAUAAGCUGGCACCGCCAGACAGAUUUGAACUCUCCAAACCUUUCUCUUCUCUCUCUCUCUCUCUCUCUCUUCUCUUCUCCUUAUUUCUCCUCUUUUCUUCUGCUAAUAUGGUAUCAGAGCGGUUCUACUGGGUUUGAGAGCAGAUUGAACAAGUUCUUUCUUUAUCAUCUUGCUGUCUUCUUCAACUGAGAUCAGAGAAGUUGACCUACAAUUGGUACAAGUUUGUUUUACCUUUUUUUUUCUUUUUCUCUUGGUCAUGUACCAAGAAAAACCCUAUGAAACAAAACUAUUAAAUGAUGUCAGAGGAAUUGUGAGGUUCAAGCCUCUUUUCUGUGGAUCGUGUGAUCAUGUACCUGAGAAUAGGAUACUUGUGACUGUUAAACCGGUGCAGUGCUGAAAUCAACCUAAAAAAUUAUUUUUUUAGAGAAUUGGAGCUGGUCUGUGUUCAGAUUGUGCCCAAACUGGAGUGUGUGCAUGUGGACUGCAUCUCUAGUGUGUUUUUAGGACUUUUUUGGGUGUUGGGAGAGAUCUUAAUGUGUGUGUUGAAACUGAAAAGUGUUUGAAUCAUGUCCUCUGAGAAUUCUGCAACUUCUGAGAUUUCGGGAGAUCAAAAUGGAAUGAGUGGGGGGAUAGAUAUGAGUUUUCCCAUGAUUGUAAUUCUCUUUGAUGGACUAAACUACCUUGAAUGAUCUAGGGGACACAACAACAAAAUCCGUAUAUAGCGGCGGAAUUCUUAGCGGCACUAAGAAAAACGCCACUAUGUAUUCAUCUUUUAGCAGCGAAUAGAGAAAGCCGCUGCUAUAGAUACUAUAACUUAUAGUGGCGGAUGCAUAUUUGCCGCCAGAUAUACACCGAAAAAUAAAAAAGAGCUAGUCCGGUCCGCUGAAUCUUCUCUCCCGUGCGAAUGAAUCCCAUAACUUCAAAAAACCCUUUCACUUCUCUGAGCAUAAUAUUUGCAUUUCUCUAUUUUCUUCGGAAGCUGAGAAGCAUCAAACGAAUUAAGAGCUAAGUCACGAUUUCUUUUACCCCCUUUCAUCUUCUUCCUCUCAUUACCUCUCUCUCUCUUUCUCUCUCUCUCACUUUUUUCUUUCAUUCAUCCAUUUUUCUACAACAGACCAUCAAACCUUCUCUUUGCCGAUUCUGGGUUUCCAACCAUCUCUCCCUUAUCUCUUGUCACUCCUUUGGCAACUGGGAACCGAACUGAACUCAUCUCCGGCGAGGUAAGUUUUUAUACAUCUGUAUUUUUUUUGUUUGUUCCUAUUGGUGGCGUGAAAAUGGAGUAACACCGGCCCAUUGGGUUCCGAUUUGAAGAACCUGUUGGAGACGAACUCCAAUGGAUAAAACCUAACCCUUCUCUAUUUUGGUUUAUAAAAGUUAUUUUUAACUUCAGUACUUUUUAGCAGAUUGUUUUCCUUAUUUUUAAUGCCAAAUUUUCAGUAACGUGAAUGCACAAUGUCACCAAUUUCAGUAAACUCAAGUCUCUCUCUCCCUCUCUCUCUCUCUCUCUCUCUCUCUCUCUUACUAAUGUGGCCCUGAACUCCCAUUAGAAUAACAAAUAGGGCUAGAAGAUGGAGACUCAAAAUAGGCUUCACUGCUGAAUCUAACCUUCCAGCAUCUCUUAAAAUAAUGAGAAAAAAUAUAUAGCGGAGUGUCAUUCUGAUGUUUUGCCAAGACCUAAAAUAUCUUAAGAUUUUUUUUUCAAUUCUUUUAGGUUUACUUGAUAAUCAGUUUCUUGGCAUUUUUUUAAUGGGUGUCUUAGAGUGAUGUCCUAUUUUUUAGAAACCAUUUAUGGGAAUCGAUUUUUUAUGGUUUGCAUUAGUGGUUUCUAAGUGGGUUUGAGGAAUUUAAUUCAUAAGAUGUUCCUUGUGUUGUUGUGUCUAAAUUAUUGCUGGACUGAUCUUUUAAGCAAAUUAGGAGAAUCUUUAAUUUCCAUGAUACUCUUGAUGCCCUUUUUAAACAUGGACUUGAAUUAUUUGAACAUGAGUGGUGCCAAAUAAGUUUCAUAAUAGAGUAAAGGGAACCCUCAAUUCUUGAAUCCAUCUUUUUAUCUCAAAUGAAACAGACAUUUAUUUUUAAUGAGUUAUGGUUUGUAAGCAUCAUUAUAGACUAUGGAAGUGUUCCUAUAUUUCUUGAAUUAUGGUUUGUAAGCAUCGUUUGAUCUGUAACAUGUUUCUAAACACUAUUGAAGUGUUGCUAUAUUUUUUUUGUCAUAUUUGAAAAUUUGGAAACUUUUACUCCCCUCUGUUUUGCUUCCUAUCUUUAUCAUCCCUUUUGAGUUGUUCUUGGUUCAAUCACGAUUGAUUUGAGUAGAUAUAAAUUCCAGAACAUUAUCACAUCAAUGUUGCUGAUUGGUGAUGAUGUUGAAAGCAUGAUUUCAAUGGGACAGAUUCAAUACAUUCUCACCUUAUCUUAUUCCCAAUCCUAAGGCACCCACUACCAAUCUCAUGACCCAACUUAAUGAAAUAUAAUUACUGAAUGUGCUGUAAACCAUAGGGUACCAACUUAUACUACCUCCUCUACACCCCAUAAACAAAACACCUUCUCUUAGUAAAGGCUAUAUUUGCAGAUUCUUCAAUGUUACUAUGUCAAACACUGUCCUUGUAAAAACCAUCAAGAGAUAACUAGCUACAUAAAAUAAAGGGUCAAUGGCAUAACCAGCUACAUGACCCCUAUGUGUAGGGACACAACAAUCUGACAGGUUUGGACAAGAAAAACCUAGUCCCAGUUCAAAUACAAUGCAGUCUAAACCCAUCCCUACACCUGGAUAAGGCUGCUCGAAUCCUAAUCUGAUAGGUUAGAUUACCGUUUAACCUGACCUAUUGAUAGUGACAUCCCUAGAGUACAUAACUUUCAAGUUUGAAACCUUUUGAUCAAUGAGCAGACACAAAGUCUCAAAUUUUCUCAAGGGAAGACUAAUGAGGUGGUCCUCCUAGGGAACAACCUAGGUUGAACUAACUGAUAAACCAUAUCUAAUGAUAAUAGGAUGUCUAGAUUACUGGAUGUGUAUGAGCCCAGUUGGGAACAAAGUAGCUAGGUCUGGUCCAGGACCCUUCAUCAUGAGUCCAACCCAGUCUUAAAGUAGAUACCCUUCCUUCUAAUCUAAAUGUUGACCCCUAAUGUGUUUUGUGUACUGGUGAAUUGUCAUUGGGCCAACAUAGACCAUUGAUGAUGGAGAUAGGUUAUGUAUAUGUUUGGCAUUGAUGCUGCCAAUACAACACCAUUUUCUUAGAAAAUGGUGCUGCUGAUCUUUGGGUUGGAAGCAUCGUUUUCUGAGAAAAUGGUAUCUUUUUUUUUUUGUUUGGAAACAUUGCUGCCAUGUGGAUGCUCAGAUUUCAGAUUUCAGAUUUGAGCAUGUUUUGUAGUAUGCUCAAAUGGUUUGACAGAUUUCAGAUUUGAGCAUGUUUUCUUCUAUACUAACUUCUCUUUAUUGUUCGAACAGGGCAUCUAGGUUUUCAUAGUUUGAAUAAGAAAUCCAAGUUUUUGACAUUCAACCAAUGAGCCAACAGGGCAUCACAGUUCGAACAGGGGUUGUCAUCACAGUUUGAGCAGGGAAUCUAGGUUUCAUCAUCUGAACAGGGUGGAACCAAUACAAGAAUGAUAGAAGGCUUUGUAUACAUUUUUUUUUUUAUUUAUUAUUAUAUGUAACAAGAAUUUUGUACAUUUUCCACAUCAUUAUCGUAUGGAACUCACAUUAAUUAAGAUA